RNAcentral lists this non-coding RNA (46 nucleotides) under Schistosoma mansoni. The record is from RNAcentral. Lineage: Eukaryota; Metazoa; Platyhelminthes; Trematoda; Strigeidida; Schistosomatidae.
AUCCAGCUGACGAGUCUCAAAAUGGGAUGAAACGCGCAUUCUGGAU